CAAUCUAAUUAGAAUAAGUUCUCCCCACUUACUCUUGUUGUUUAUAUGUCUCGCGUGGGAUAAUUAUCAACAACGAGGAGCAAAUGGGGAGAACUUAUUUUAAUUAGAUUG
RNAcentral lists this small RNA (111 nucleotides) under Mytilus galloprovincialis (Mediterranean mussel). The record is from RNAcentral. Lineage: Eukaryota; Metazoa; Mollusca; Bivalvia; Mytilida; Mytilidae.